RNAcentral lists this ribosomal RNA (247 nucleotides) under uncultured Candidatus Saccharibacteria bacterium. RNAcentral's name for it is "partial 16S ribosomal RNA". It matches the Rfam family "Bacterial small subunit ribosomal RNA", at positions 796 to 1041 of the family's 1533-position model. Lineage: Bacteria; Candidatus Saccharimonadota. The record is from RNAcentral.
CACGCCGUAAACGAUGGAUGCUAGCUGUUAGGAGUAUCGACCCUUCUAGUAGCGAAGCUAACGCGUUAAGCAUCCCGCCUGGGGAGUACGAACGCAAGUUUAAAACUCAAAGGAAUUGACGGGGACCCGCACAAGUGGUGGAGCGUGUUCUUUAAUUCGAAGUUAAGCGAAGAACCUUACCAGGGCUUGACAUCCUUGGAAUCUCUGCGAAAGCAGAGAGUGCCUUUUGGAACCAAGUGACAGGUGU